GAAAGUUCUUCCCGUGCCUCCACCUCAGGAGAACAAACCGCACCUUCAGAGUCCUGCCCUGAGGCCCAAGGGUCCCCCACCUCCCGUUCCUGCCCCCAAACCUGGCUCUUCCCACCCCGAGGAGAAGUUUGCCCCAGAGAGAACAGCUCCUCCUGUGCCCCUUCCCAAAGGCAAACCCCCUCCUCCACCCCAGGCUUUAAAGCCCCCCAUGAACCCCAGAGUCUGAGGCUUCCCAAGCAGAGCUGGCUGGGCCACCUGAACUUUGCAGGGACAGUUCAUCCCUCGAUUCCUCCACUUCUGGCAAAGGUGUCCUGGACCAUCUCCCUCUCCUCCUCGAGAACUGACUGAGAGCUGCCUGGGGAGAUUCGGGAUUUCAGGCAGUGAGGAGCCCCGGUGGUGACAUGGAGCUGCUGUCCAAGGGAAGCAGAGCAGAGCCACCACUUGCACCGAGGUGUAAACUGGGAGUAAGUUACAACAGCUGCUG
This 484-nucleotide long non-coding RNA is filed under the name Zonotrichia albicollis (white-throated sparrow). RNAcentral's name for it is "lncRNA (ENSZALG00000007025.1)". The record is from RNAcentral. Lineage: Eukaryota; Metazoa; Chordata; Aves; Passeriformes; Passerellidae.